GCGCGUUUAGCUCAGUGGUUAGAGCGCAUCCCUGAUAAGGAUGAGGUCCGGUGUUCGAUUCACCGAUCGCGCAC
Molecule: transfer RNA, 74 nt
Filed under: Mycobacteroides abscessus subsp. abscessus
Lineage: Bacteria; Bacillati; Actinomycetota; Actinomycetes; Mycobacteriales; Mycobacteriaceae
Description: tRNA-Ile(gat)
Rfam family: tRNA
About the family: Transfer RNA (tRNA) molecules are approximately 80 nucleotides in length. Their secondary structure includes four short double-helical elements and three loops (D, anti-codon, and T loops). Further hydrogen bonds mediate the characteristic L-shaped molecular structure. tRNAs have two regions of fundamental functional importance: the anti-codon, which is responsible for specific mRNA codon recognition, and the 3' end, to which the tRNAs corresponding amino acid is attached (by aminoacyl-tRNA synthetases). tRNAs cope with the degeneracy of the genetic code in two manners: having more than one tRNA (with a specific anti-codon) for a particular amino acid; and 'wobble' base-pairing, i.e. permitting non-standard base-pairing at the 3rd anti-codon position.
Source: RNAcentral